UUCAGCGUGUGUUCUCCCUGUCCGAGAGGAUCGGGUAAACCGUUGAACGCCCUUCGCGACUGGGAUAGGGGCUUGGAAUUGUUGCCCUUGAACGAGGAAUUCCUAGUAAGCGCGAGUCAUCACCUCGUGCUGAUUACGUCCCUGCCCUUUGUACUCAUCGCCCGUCGCUAGUACCGAUUGAACGAUUCAGUGAGGUCUUUGGACUGUCGCUCGGAAACGUCCUCGAGGGCCGAUCCGACGCGACGGGAAGACG
Molecule: ribosomal RNA, 253 nt
Filed under: Smeringopina moudouma
Lineage: Eukaryota; Metazoa; Arthropoda; Arachnida; Araneae; Pholcidae
Description: partial 18S ribosomal RNA
Rfam family: Eukaryotic small subunit ribosomal RNA
Source: RNAcentral